GAAUCGCAUCGGCCUUUGUUGUCAGGCGAUGGUUCAUUCAAAUUUCUGCCUAUCAACUUUCGAUUGUAGAGUAGUGGUCUACAAUGGUUGUGCAAAGGGUAACGGGGAAUUAGGGUUCUAUUCCGGAGAGGGAGCCUGAGAAACGGUACCAAUCCAAGGAAGGCAGCAGGCGCGCAAAUUACCCAAUCCCGACACGGGGAGGUAGUGACAAUAAAUACUGAUACAGGGCUCUUUUGGGUCUGGUGAAUUGGAAUGAGUACAAUUUAAAUCCCUUAACGAGGGAACAAUUGGAGGGCAAGUCUGGUGCCAGCAAGCCGGGUAAUUCCAGCUCCAAUAGCGUAUAUUAAAGUUGUUGCAGUUAAAAAGCUCGUAGUUGAACCUUGGGCCUG
RNAcentral lists this ribosomal RNA (389 nucleotides) under uncultured fungus. RNAcentral's name for it is "SSU rRNA". It matches the Rfam family "Eukaryotic small subunit ribosomal RNA", at positions 260 to 649 of the family's 1831-position model. The record is from RNAcentral. Lineage: Eukaryota; Fungi.